RNA transcript from Cloeon dipterum, 634 nucleotides. It is a transcript of the gene named prefoldin 2, with no coding region annotated. NCBI's taxonomy places the organism in Eukaryota, Metazoa, Arthropoda, Insecta, Ephemeroptera, Baetidae. The record is from RefSeq and is a predicted model, not a curated record. The transcript has 3 exons.
GGAGGGGAACCGGUAGUUUUUAAGACAUGAGGUAUCAAAACAAGCACAAGCAUGGCCGAUAAAGGAAAGUCUCCUGAGGAAAUUGUGGCCGGCUUUAAUGCCCUUCGCAAUGAACAGCGGCGGCUUGCCCUCAAAAUAUCGGAGAUGGAAGUUGACCAGAACGAACACAAGAUCGUGGUAGACGCCCUGGGGAAGAUUGAAGAUGAUCGAAAAUGUUUCCGCCUAAUCAACGGCGUGCUGGUCGAACGCACCGUCAAAGAAGUGCGUCCGCAGCUUCUGCAGAGUCUGGAGCAGCUUGGCGAAGCCAUCCGGUUGCACAACGAGGCGUUGACACGUAAAGGAACUGAAUUGAACGACUAUAAAGAAAAAUACAACAUCAGAGUGAGGAACGCCGGAGACGAAGAGCAGGAGAAACAAGAAGCGCCGAAAGCGCCCCAGCAAGCUGGUGUUCUUGUCAACUGAUCCCUUUGAAGUGACUUUUCACCGUGAUACGUUAUUAUCCAAAAUGCACGUGCAGAUACCUGCCGCCUUCGACUGACUGCAAUGCGACGUCUCUACUGGCCAAUGGCAGUUGGAUCUAUUUUCUCUCGCGAAUUUACUGUUACACAAAAAUAUAAAACAUUUAAAUAGCCAA